RNAcentral lists this ribosomal RNA (511 nucleotides) under uncultured bacterium. RNAcentral describes it as "bacterial SSU rRNA". It matches the Rfam family "Bacterial small subunit ribosomal RNA", at positions 340 to 842 of the family's 1533-position model. The record is from RNAcentral.
UACGGGAGGCAGCAGUAGGGAAUCUUCCACAAUGGGCGAAAGCCUGAUGGAGCAACGCCGCGUGGGUGAAGAAGGUCUUCGGAUCGUAAAACCCUGUUGUUAGAGAAGAAAGUGCGUGAGAGUAACUGUUCACGUUUCGACGGUAUCUAACCAGAAAGCCACGGCUAACUACGUGCCAGCAGCCGCGGUAAUACGUAGGUGGCAAGCGUUAUCCGGAUUUAUUGGGCGUAAAGGGAACGCAGGCGGUCUUUUAAGUCUGAUGUGAAAGCCUUCGGCUUAACCGGAGUAGUGCAUUGGAAACUGGGAGACUUGAGUGCAGAAGAGGAGAGUGGAACUCCAUGUGUAGCGGUGAAAUGCGUAGAUAUAUGGAAGAACACCAGUGGCGAAAGCGGCUCUCUGGUCUGUAACUGACGCUGAGGUUCGAAAGCGUGGGUAGCAAACAGGAUUAGAUACCCUGGUAGUCCACGCCGUAAACGAUGAAUGCUAAGUGUUGGAGGGUUUCCGCCCUUCA